This is a long non-coding RNA of Homo sapiens (human), 1049 nucleotides long. Lineage: Eukaryota; Metazoa; Chordata; Mammalia; Primates; Hominidae. The record is from Ensembl.
AGGUCAUAUCUUCACCAGCUCUGUGGAGCAAGCAUGGUUUUCUAUUAUUUGUAAAACAAAAGUAUAGUGAUGCCUCAGUGGGGAGUGCCUUAUCCCACUCUCAGUGAUUUAACAGGGUCUGGACUUCUGUUUUUUAAAAGAUAUAUUUUAUCCUAAGCUUUUAGAAGUCAAGAUGGGGUUAGGGGAUAAAAGUCAGGGAGAGGAAUGGAGAGAGGAAGAACAGAGCCCAAGGAAGAAAGGUGACAGUCUGGACAACGCAAGAACCCCUGCGGUCUCCAGCAACCACACUCAUGUGACUUCUGCCUUCACCCUUCACAUGCAAGAGGAGGCAAGCUCAGUUGAGUUCUCACCUCCAAGAACUUGCAGUUCUCCUGGGGAGGCAGGACCGAUGCCCAUGGAACAAGGUGUGCCAGUGAGCCCCACAGAAAGGGGCAGUUUCCCGCACCAGGAUACACUUCAAAAAAGCACAAUUCAGAUUAUGCAUUCCCUGCUGAAGAUGCUCCACUGCGUCUUAUACCACUUGAGAAAAAAUUCCAGACUCCUCUCCAAUGUACUUCAGUCCCUGCCCAACUGGGCUCCAGUCAGGGUGGGGUUUUUUGUCGUUGUUGUUCUUCAAAUGCUGUCCACCACCCCAGAGGUUGUUUCUUUGCUGUUCGUGGGCCUGGAGUCCCCUUUCCCCAGGUCUUUACAUGGCUGCUCCAUCUCUCCAUAGAAGUUGCAGCUCAAGUGCCACCUUUUCAGAGAGCCCUUCCUGGACCGUUCAGUAUAAAUGAAGUUCUUUCCCCAAGUACUCCUGAUGGCAGCAACUUGUCACAGUGUCCUUCUUUGCCCUUACCAUGAGCUGGUAUUUUUCUUGUGUAUUGAUUCACUGAUUAAUUGCUUCCUUGAUUAUCCCUCAUGCUGCCCAUUAGAAUGUAGCUCCAUGGGAGCAGGGACCUUGUCUAUCUUGUCCUCCAUGGUAUCCUAGAAUUCUAAGAUGUAGGAUAGCUUAACAGAGGAGACUCUUGAAAUAUUUGUUAAAUAUGUGAUAAAAAAUAAAAGGAAGAAUC